This is a transfer RNA of Trichosporon asahii var. asahii CBS 8904, 91 nucleotides long. It matches the Rfam family "tRNA". Rfam says of the family: Transfer RNA (tRNA) molecules are approximately 80 nucleotides in length. Their secondary structure includes four short double-helical elements and three loops (D, anti-codon, and T loops). The record is from Rfam. NCBI's taxonomy places the organism in Eukaryota, Fungi, Basidiomycota, Tremellomycetes, Trichosporonales, Trichosporonaceae.
GCCGCUGUGUCGCAAUGGCAGCGUGUUUGACUUCUAUGAGAGUUUCUCAUCACACAUCAAAAGGUUGCGGGUUCGAGUCCCGUCAGUGGCU